CUGAGACCGAUGCGCGAUUUCCGUCCUCUCGUUGCGGGUUCGCGCUCGCUUCGGGGCUAAAGGUCGGCGCGCUCCGCUUUGGUGACUCUGGAUAACUCACUGGUCGAUCGCACGGGCUUCCACGCCCGGCGACGGGUCCCC
This 141-nucleotide ribosomal RNA is filed under the name Histioteuthis meleagroteuthis. RNAcentral describes it as "partial small subunit ribosomal RNA". The record is from RNAcentral. Lineage: Eukaryota; Metazoa; Mollusca; Cephalopoda; Oegopsida; Histioteuthidae.